Pelobates cultripes (western spadefoot toad) is the source of this 233-nucleotide non-coding RNA. The record is from the annotation of a GenBank genome assembly. NCBI's taxonomy places the organism in Eukaryota, Metazoa, Chordata, Amphibia, Anura, Pelobatidae.
CUCCAGUUAAGCUACGGUGGUUGUGGAGUCUGCGGUGGUUGUGGUGUCCGGUGCGGUGCUUGUGGUCCUCAGCGCAAGCUAGGAAGCGUCCAUCAACAGAAGGUACUCAGUCGGAGUACGGAGAGUUCCGUUACACACCUCUCACAGACACUGGCACUGAAGUUUCGUUGUGCAUUGUAGACAGCAUGAAUACAUCCUUCCUAUCGGUGAAGCGAAGGGCAAGCAACUCAUCC